RNAcentral lists this ribosomal RNA (460 nucleotides) under uncultured bacterium. Its description in RNAcentral is "SSU rRNA". It matches the Rfam family "Bacterial small subunit ribosomal RNA", at positions 26 to 518 of the family's 1533-position model. The record is from RNAcentral.
AGAAUCAACGCUGGCGGCGUGCCUAACACAUGCAAGUCGAACGAGAAAGGGGAGCAAUCCCUGAGUAAAGUGGCGACCGGGUGAGUAACACGUGACUAACCUACCUUCGAGUGGGGGAUAACCUCGGGAAACCGAGGCUAAUACCGCAUAACAUCGUGAGAUCAAAGCAGUAAUGCGCUGGAAGAGGGGGUCGCGGCUGAUUAGCUAGUUGGCGGGGUAAUGGCCCACCAAGGCGAAGAUCGGUAGCCGGCCUGAGAGGGCGCACGGCCGACACUGGAACUGAAACACGGUCCAGACUCCUACGGGAGGCAGCAGUGGGAAUUUUGCGCAAUGGGGGAAACCCUGACGCAGCAACGCCGCGUGGAGGAUGAAGUCCCUUGGGACGUAAACUCCUUUCGACCAAGACGAUAAUGACGGUACUGGUGGAAGAAGCACCGGCUAACUCUGUGCCAGCAGCCGC